AGCUGCCUGGCAAGCACACCUGAUUCUUACAGGAAGUUCUAUGCACUAAGUUUUUCACUUAAUGCUAUAAAGAGCAUUCCCUCCAAGCUGGGUGUGGCACCGAAUGCCUUUAAUUCCAACACUCACGAGGCAGUGGCAGGCAGAUCUCUGUGCUCUAAGACAGCCUGGUCUAAGACCUUGCCUCAAAAAAAAAAAAAAAAAAAAAAAAAAAAAAAGAUGAAAAAACAAAAACCCCGGAUUUCUGAGUUCGAGGUCAGCCUGGUCUACAGAGUGAGUUCCAGGAUGGCCAGGCUACACAGAGAAACCCUGUCUG
RNAcentral lists this long non-coding RNA (313 nucleotides) under Mus musculus (house mouse). Its description in RNAcentral is "long non-coding RNA chr5:122377407-122377720". Lineage: Eukaryota; Metazoa; Chordata; Mammalia; Rodentia; Muridae. The record is from RNAcentral.